Molecule: ribosomal RNA, 555 nt
Filed under: uncultured Fusobacteriota bacterium
Lineage: Bacteria; Fusobacteriati; Fusobacteriota
Description: bacterial SSU rRNA
Rfam family: Bacterial small subunit ribosomal RNA
Source: RNAcentral
GCGAAGCUGUGCUUGUACAGACGAGCCAAGGCGGACGGGUGAGUAACGCGUAAGGAACUUGCCCCGCAGACAGGGAUAACAGACGGAAACGACUGAUAAGACCUGGUAUUGUCAGGCUGACGCAUGUCAGACUGAUGAAAGGAGACGCUGCGGGAGAGCCUUGCGUCCUAUUAGCUUGUUGGUGGGGUAACGGCCCACCAAGGCGAUGAUAGGUAGCCGGCCUGAGAGGGUGAACGGCCACAAGGGGACUGAGAUACGCCUUACUCCUACGGAGCACAUGGGGAAUAUGGACAUGGGGGCACCUGAUCCAGCAAUUCUGUGUGCACGAAGAAGGUUUUCGGAUUGUAAAGUGCUUUCAGCAGGGAAGAAGCAAGUGACGGUACCUGCAGAAGAAGCGACGGCUAAAUACGUGCCAGCAGCCGCGGUAAUACGUAUGUCGCAAGCGUUAUCCGGAAUUAUUGGGCAUAAAGGGCAUCUAGGCGGCCCUGUAAGUCUAGGGUGAAAACCUGCGGCUCAACCGCAGGCCUGCCCCGGAAACUACGGGACUGGAGUAUU